GAGUUUGAUCCUGGCUCAGAUUGAACGCUGGCGGCAGGCCUAACACAUGCAAGUCGAGCGGUAACAGGAAGAAAGCUUGCUUUCUUUGCUGACGAGCGGCGGACGGGUGAGUAAUGCCUGGGAAUAUACCCUGAUGUGGGGGAUAACUAUUGGAAACGAUAGCUAAUACCGCAUAAUCUCCGAUCUUUUACGAGAUGGGAGCAAAGAGGGGGACCUUCGGGCCUCUCGCGUCAGGAUUAGCCCAGGUGGGAUUAGCUAGUUGGUGGGGUAAUGGCUCACCAAGGCGACGAUCCCUAGCUGGUCUGAGAGGAUGAUCAGCCACACUGGAACUGAGACACGGUCCAGACUCCUACGGGAGGCAGCAGUGGGGAAUAUUGCACAAUGGGGGAAACCCUGAUGCAGCCAUGCCGCGUGUAUGAAGAAGGCCUUCGGGUUGUAAAGUACUUUCAGUUGUGAGGAAGGCAGUUAAGUUAAUAGCUUGGCUGUUUGACGUUAGCAACAGAAGAAGCACCGGCUAACUCCGUGCCAGCAGCCGCGGUAAUACGGAGGGUGCGAGCGUUAAUCGGAAUUACUGGGCGUAAAGCGCAUGCAGGCGGUCUGUUAAGCAAGAUGUGAAAGCCCGGGGCUCAACCUCGGAACAGCGUUUUGAACUGGCAGACUAGAGUCUUGUAGAGGGGGGUAGAAUUUCAGGUGUAGCGGUGAAAUGCGUAGAGAUCUGAAGGAAUACCGGUGGCGAAGGCGGCCCCCUGGACAAAGACUGACGCUCAGAUGCGAAAGCGUGGGGAGCAAGCAGGAUUAGAUACCCUGGUAGUCCACGCCGUAAACGAUGUCUACUUGAAGGUUGUGGCCUUGAGCCGUGGCUUUCGGAGCUAACGCGUUAAGUAGACCGCCUGGGGAGUACGGUCGCAAGAUUAAAACUCAAAUGAAUUGACGGGGGCCCGCACAAGCGGUGGAGCAUGUGGUUUAAUUCGAUGCAACGCGAAGGACCUUACCUACUCUUGACAUCCAGAAGAAUUCGCUAGAGAUAGCUUAGUGCCUUCGGGAACUCUGAGACAGGUGCUGCAUGCUGUCGUCAGCUCGUGUUGUGAAAUGUUGGCUAGGUCCCGCAGGAGCGCACCCGUAUUCCAUGUUUGCAGCCGUUAUGGUGGGAACUCCAGAACUGCGUGAUAACCGAAGAAGGGUGGUACGACGUUCGAGUUCCAUCUAUGUGG
RNAcentral lists this ribosomal RNA (1211 nucleotides) under uncultured bacterium. Its description in RNAcentral is "bacterial SSU rRNA". It matches the Rfam family "Bacterial small subunit ribosomal RNA", at positions 9 to 1207 of the family's 1533-position model. The record is from RNAcentral.